UAUAUAUAUAUAUAUAUAUAUAUAUAUAUAUAUAUAUAAUAUGUGUGGAUCUGCUUAACGUACAAUAGUAUGUUAAAGACCUUUUCAAGAAUAAAUUAGAGCAUAAACUCAAAUUAAGGGAUCUAGUACUGAGCAAUAUUAAGGUAGAUGAGUCAUUUGGUUAAUUAAUUAGAGUUUGUACUUUUGACAAAGUUCAUAAAUUUAAUUAUUUCCAUGCCUUUUGAGCAAGUUAAGGGGCACAAUUAUUUUAAUCCCGGUACAUGUAAUAUUAGUUAAUUAGCUGACAAGCUAGGG
Molecule: long non-coding RNA, 294 nt
Filed under: Panax ginseng (ginseng)
Lineage: Eukaryota; Viridiplantae; Streptophyta; Magnoliopsida; Apiales; Araliaceae
Description: long non-coding RNA (PGIN_LNC010376)
Source: RNAcentral